UGGUUCUGGCAUCGAUGAAGAACGCAGCGAAAUGCGAUAAGUAAUGUGAAUUGCAGAAUUCAGUGAAUCAUCGAAUCUUUGAACGCACAUUGCGCCCCCUGGCAUUCCGGGGGGCAUGCCCGUUCGAGCGUCAUAUAACAACACUCACGCCUGGCGUGGUAUUGGGCCUCAGACCUAGGGUCAGGCCCCAAACGAUUCGGCUAGGAGGAAUCAGUAAAUGGGGAGUGCUAGAGCAUGGUGCCGCAAAUAUCGAUACAUAUAUGCGGCGCGGAGUUCGCAGUCCCCUGCCCUACGCGUUCGCAUCGGUGACCCAGACCGAAACACAAGUUUGACCUCGGAUCGGGUAGGAAUACCCGCUGA
This 360-nucleotide unclassified non-coding RNA is filed under the name uncultured fungus. Its description in RNAcentral is "partial contains 5.8S ribosomal RNA and internal transcribed spacer 2". The stretch from base 1 to 133 matches the Rfam family "5.8S ribosomal RNA", at positions 22 to 154 of the family's 154-position model. The record is from RNAcentral. Lineage: Eukaryota; Fungi.